CCUACGGGUGGCUGCAGUGGGGAAUAUUGGACAAUGGGCGAAAGCCUGAUCCAGCCAUGCCGCGUGUGUGAAGAAGGCCUUCGGGUUGUAAAGCACUUUCAGUGGGGAAGAAAGCCUUGGGGCUAAUACCCUCGAGGAAGGACAUCACCCACAGAAGAAGCACCGGCUAACUCCGUGCCAGCAGCCGCGGUAAUACGGAGGGUGCGAGCGUUAAUCGGAAUUACUGGGCGUAAAGCGCGCGUAGGCGGUCUGAUAAGCCGGUUGUGAAAGCCCCGGGCUCAACCUGGGAACGGCAUCCGGAACUGUCAGGCUAGAGUGCAGGAGAGGAAGGUAGAAUUCCCGGUGUAGCGGUGAAAUGCGUAGGGAUCGGGAGGAAUACCAGUGGCGAAGGCGGCCUUCUGGACUGACACUGACGCUGAGGUGCGAAAGCGUGGGUAGCAAACAGGAUUAGAUACCCCAAUAGUC
Molecule: ribosomal RNA, 465 nt
Filed under: Vreelandella stevensii
Lineage: Bacteria; Pseudomonadati; Pseudomonadota; Gammaproteobacteria; Oceanospirillales; Halomonadaceae
Description: partial 16S ribosomal RNA
Rfam family: Bacterial small subunit ribosomal RNA
Source: RNAcentral